Molecule: ribosomal RNA, 1054 nt
Filed under: Escherichia coli
Lineage: Bacteria; Pseudomonadati; Pseudomonadota; Gammaproteobacteria; Enterobacterales; Enterobacteriaceae
Description: bacterial SSU rRNA
Rfam family: Bacterial small subunit ribosomal RNA
Source: RNAcentral
GAAACGGUAGCUAAUACCGCAUAACGUCGCAAGACCAAAGAGGGGGACCUUAGGGCCUCUUGCCAUCGGAUGUGCCCAGAUGGGAUUAGCUAGUAGGUGGGGUAACGGCUCACCUAGGCGACGAUCCCUAGCUGGUCUGAGAGGAUGACCAGCCACACUGGAACUGAGACACGGUCCAGACUCCUACGGGAGGCAGCAGUGGGGAAUAUUGCACAAUGGGCGCAAGCCUGAUGCAGCCAUGCCGCGUGUAUGAAGAAGGCCUUCGGGUUGUAAAGUACUUUCAGCGGGGAGGAAGGGAGUAAAGUUAAUACCUUUGCUCAUUGACGUUACCCGCAGAAGAAGCACCGGCUAACUCCGUGCCAGCAGCCGCGGUAAUACGGAGGGUGCAAGCGUUAAUCGGAAUUACUGGGCGUAAAGCGCACGCAGGCGGUUUGUUAAGUCAGAUGUGAAAUCCCCGGGCUCAACCUGGGAACUGCAUCUGAUACUGGCAAGCUUGAGUCUCGUAGAGGGGGGUAGAAUUCCAGGUGUAGCGGUGAAAUGCGUAGAGAUCUGGAGGAAUACCGGUGGCGAAGGCGGCCCCCUGGACGAAGACUGACGCUCAGGUGCGAAAGCGUGGGGAGCAAACAGGAUUAGAUACCCUGGUAGUCCACGCCGUAAACGAUGUCGACUUGGAGGUUGUGCCCUUGAGGCGUGGCUUCCGGAGCUAACGCGUUAAGUCGACCGCCUGGGGAGUACGGCCGCAAGGUUAAAACUCAAAUGAAUUGACGGGGGCCCGCACAAGCGGUGGAGCAUGUGGUUUAAUUCGAUGCAACGCGAAGAACCUUACCUGGUCUUGACAUCCACGGAAGUUUUCAGAGAUGAGAAUGUGCCUUCGGGAACCGUGAGACAGGUGCUGCAUGGCUGUCGUCAGCUCGUGUUGUGAAAUGUUGGGUUAAGUCCCGCAACGAGCGCAACCCUUAUCCUUUGUUGCCAGCGGUCCGGCCGGGAACUCAAAGGAGACUGCCAGUGAUAAACUGGAGGAAGGUGGGGAUGACGUCAAGUCAUCAUGGCCCUU